This 19-nucleotide transfer RNA is filed under the name Albinaria saxatilis. RNAcentral describes it as "partial tRNA-Met". Lineage: Eukaryota; Metazoa; Mollusca; Gastropoda; Stylommatophora; Clausiliidae. The record is from RNAcentral.
AAUGGAUUUCCUCAUUGAA